This is a non-coding RNA of Pelobates cultripes (western spadefoot toad), 76 nucleotides long. Lineage: Eukaryota; Metazoa; Chordata; Amphibia; Anura; Pelobatidae. The record is from the annotation of a GenBank genome assembly.
AAAAUGUGUAUAUGUGUGUGUGUGUGUGUGUAUAUAUCUAUAUAUAUACACACACACACACAUAUACACAUUUUAU